RNAcentral lists this ribosomal RNA (484 nucleotides) under uncultured bacterium. RNAcentral's name for it is "bacterial SSU rRNA". It matches the Rfam family "Bacterial small subunit ribosomal RNA", at positions 8 to 509 of the family's 1533-position model. The record is from RNAcentral.
AGAGUUUGAUCCUGGCUCAGGAUGAACGCUGGCGGCGCGCCUAACACAUGCAAGUCGAACGGACGAGGGCCCUUCGGGGCCGAGUUAGUGGCGAACGGGUGAGUAACACGUGAGGAACCUGCCUUUCAGAGGGGGAUAACACUUAGAAAUAGGUGCUAAUACCGCAUAAGACCACAGAGCGGCAUCGCUCAGGGGUCAAAGGAGCAAUCCGCUGAAAGAUGGCCUCGCGUCCGAUUAGGUAGUAGGCGGGGCAACGGCCCACCUAGCCUGCGAUCGGUAGCCGGACUGAGAGGUUGAACGGCCACAUUGGGACUGAGACACGGCCCAGACUCCUACGGGAGGCAGCAGUGGGGAAUAUUGGGCAAUGGGGAAACCCUGACCCAGCGACGCCGCGUGAGGGAAGAAGGUUUUCGGAUUGUAAACCUCUGUCUUCGGGGAUGAUAGUGACAGUACCCGAGGAGGAAGCCACGGCUAAUUACGUGCC